AGGUCUGAAAGAUAUUUAUACCCAUGUGUUUCACGAACAGCUCUUGACAGCAGAAUGCUCAGCAGGUGAGUUACUUGUUCAGUGAUGAUGUACUUCUACAUCUCACCUAUAUGCCAUACCAGUGUCACCAUACUCCUUGGUUAAGAGGACAACCAACCCAUAUGGCACACAACGACCUUCACUCGAUAAAUAUCAUCAUUCUGUAAUG
This 208-nucleotide long non-coding RNA is filed under the name Elaeis guineensis (African oil palm). Its description in RNAcentral is "long non-coding RNA (EGUI_LNC048801)". The record is from RNAcentral. Lineage: Eukaryota; Viridiplantae; Streptophyta; Magnoliopsida; Arecales; Arecaceae.